Molecule: transfer RNA, 81 nt
Filed under: Silvimonas terrae
Lineage: Bacteria; Pseudomonadati; Pseudomonadota; Betaproteobacteria; Neisseriales; Chitinibacteraceae
Description: tRNA-OTHER
Rfam family: transfer-messenger RNA
About the family: Bacterial tmRNA, also known as 10Sa RNA or SsrA, is named for its dual tRNA and mRNA-like properties.
Source: RNAcentral
AAUCCAGUUGGCCAGGCUAAGCAUGUAGAACUCUUCGUAGAGGACUUUCGGACGUGGGUUCGACUCCCACCGGCUCCACCA